RNAcentral lists this ribosomal RNA (232 nucleotides) under uncultured bacterium. RNAcentral's name for it is "partial 16S ribosomal RNA". It matches the Rfam family "Bacterial small subunit ribosomal RNA", at positions 118 to 347 of the family's 1533-position model. The record is from RNAcentral.
UGAGCAAUCUGCCCUUCUCUUCGGAAUAAGCGUGGGAAACCGCGUCUAAUGCCGAAUACGACCUCCUUUCACAUGAUCGGAGGUGGAAAGCUCCGGCGGAGAAGGAUGAGCUCGCGGCCUAUCAGCUAGUUGGUGUGGGUAAUGGCCCACCAAGGCGACGACGGGUAGCCGGCCUGAGAGGGUGACCGGCCACACUGGGACUGAGACACGACCCAGACUCCUACGGGAGNAG